RNAcentral lists this ribosomal RNA (373 nucleotides) under uncultured eukaryote. Its description in RNAcentral is "partial 18S ribosomal RNA". It matches the Rfam family "Eukaryotic small subunit ribosomal RNA", at positions 592 to 976 of the family's 1831-position model. The record is from RNAcentral.
UGUAAGCGUAUACCAAAGUUGUUGCAGUUAAAACGCUCGUAGUCGAAUUUUGGUGUGAGUUAUGGAGACUCCUACUGGAUGUUGAAGUAACUUCGCCUUUGUGGAGGGGGUGUGGUGGUACUUUAUUGUAUUGCUGCAUUUCCGCCACUGUUUACUGUGAAAAAAUUAGAGUGUUCAAAGCGAGCGUUUGCCAUGAAUACAUUAGCAUGGAAUAAUAGAAUAGGACCUGGUUCUGUUUUAUUGGUUUGUCUGUAUCAGGUAAUGAUUAACAGGGACGGUCGGGGGUAUUUGUAUUCCAGCGUUAGAGGUGAAAUUCUUGGAUCGCUGGAAGACAGACAGCUGCGAAAGCGUCUACCAAGGACGUUUNCAUUGA